GUAGCUAGAUUGUUUGCUCCCUACAACAGAGGGUCCAACACCACCAGAGGGUCCAACACCAGAUUCAACAGACGAACACUGCCAGCAUCAAACAUCCAACGGACAAGCUUCACUCACUUUUUCUGUGUUCUUAGUGACCACAUUGCUACCAACACACCAACCAUACAGGAAAAAGCAGACCUGAAGGCGUCAGGGCUGGGCGAAAAAAGAAUCUCCUUCACAGGAAAUGAAGCAGACACACAGAUUUUAACUUCAACUCUAAUCGACAACUACCCAAAGCUGAAGGAGGCAGGAGGCUUUGAACUGAUGAGAAUCGGUGGCACAACAAGGUCCAGAGAGCUCUCUGUAAUUCCAUGUCCAAGUGAGGGUUACAGUAUUCGCCAUUUAAAGGCCCCAGAGACUAUGGUUGGAAGAGCCACCAUAUAUGUUUGACCACUUCAAUGCAGUCUGGACCUUGGCCCUUAUUCUCAGACCGUCCAGGGACCCAUGGUAUCGUGCAUCACGUGCCAACAGGUCUUCACCUUCACCGAUGUGAAAGGCCACAGGGAAACAUGCAAUGGGUAUGUGUGUGUUUGUGAGUGAGAACAUGUUUUUAUUGUUGUUUUUUGUAGACCUAUUUCUGGUUUAUACACUGUAAUAAAACUGAACUAUGAAGUUGUCAGAUUAGUUUAAGAUCAAAAAAGGGUACAUUUUCUUUUGUGAAAUUCUGUUGAGGUUAGAAUUAAUCAGUUUCAUCAGCCAGUUCAGAUGAACACUGGAUAUUUUUCAGUCAGUGGGACUGUAAUAAUAUCUAAUUCGUAGGAGUUUGGAUCAGGCAUCUACAAGCAAUAGUGUACCAGUGACAGCAGAGCCACAAGCAGCAUCAGCCAGCGUUGUUGCUUAUGAGCCCACAACAUCAGCUUCAAACAGUUUAAGCAGGAGAGCAAGAGGAGAAACUUCAAUGGCCACGACCAGUGAGAGAUCAGGACACCCUUUUCUAGUGGAUGACAAUGAUGUGGAGGACAAAGAAGGUUUGCAUGUUAGGAAAAAAAAACAUGGUAUACGCUUAAGUUAGGAAUAGUGAAGUAAUACAAAUUUGGCUAAAAACCGAUACAAUACAGAGUACUAUUCUAGAUUCAAAUCUAACACCUAUCCUGCUAUAGGUGGUACAGUUGAGUUCUGAAAGUUAUUGAAGCAGUUGAACCCAGGCCCUUCUCAAAAAAAUUAUUGCAUGGUGCUGACUAGUAUUCUCUUGUUUUUAACCUUACAUAAUGGCAAUAUUGGAAAUCUAUCACUGAUCCAAAGUGUGCUGCGCAAGACUUCAAAAGGGCUCUACUGGGCCAGAAUGAAUCCGAAAGACCCCUCCGUCUUAAAAUGGACCUGGCAGACAGCGAGGAGGACAGGGAGAGGGCUAUGCUGUGGUUCUACAAGGAAAAGCGCAAUUGGGCUUCUCCGCUGAAUUGUACUUUGGAAGGUGAUGCUGCUGUUGGACCUGGAGUAGUCCGCCACUUCCUCACCACAUUGAUGUCAAAAAUUCAGUUGGGAUUCAACUUGAACCUUGAUGGUCCUAGAUCGCAUCAAUUGGCCCCUUGAGAAUGACAGCGACGAGGAUGAAGACUUCAGCCUGGAGGAGAAGUGCCGCACCACCGGCUUCCUAAGGACGUUCAUAGAAAAUGCAUCAUCAACACAGCUGGCCGAACUACUAAAAUUCUGGGUCGGAUGGGAGGUCCUUCCACGAGAGAUACAUGUUGAAAUCUCACGGGCUCGAUUUCCAUCCUCAUCUACCUGCUUUGAGAGGCUGAAAUUGCCUGUCCAUUUUGAGUCCUAUGCAGACUUUGAAACAGCACUUAAAGCAUCUAUUCAGAGUGCUCACACAGGAUUCGGUCUAAUGUAACAAGGACAGUGAGGAGGAGAAAAGGGGGUUGAUGGCAGGGGUUCUUAGGGCACAAAUAGUUAAGUGUUAAAAGUCUUAGUUUGAGUCGAUCUAAUCUCUAUCAAAUUUUCAAAUAUAUUUAUAUAUUUUUUUUCUUCUGACUUGUAGGAGGGCCUACAAGCAAGUACGUCAAGUACAUUUGUUCUCAAAGUAUUGGUUCUCAAUUUUUUGUUAUCACACAAUGCUACCCAAACACAAUACCUUUAACAAACGUUGGUAGUUCCCACACCUAUCAAGGGAUCUUAUCUUUCAUCCAUCAUCCUUGAUAGAUGUUGCACGGUCUCAAGGUAGAUCUGCAUUGCAUCGGAGCAGGACUCCACUGGACCAGGCAAUGAGGCCACUUCAUCCUCAAGUUGGCGAGGCAGUUGAACCUCGGGUACAGUCACUCUGCCAUGGUGGUUGUGUGGUCCGUCCCAGUCAAUUCCAUAGUCUUCAUCCACCUGAAGUACACAAUUGAUUUCACAC
Molecule: long non-coding RNA, 2377 nt
Organism: Hypomesus transpacificus
Lineage: Eukaryota; Metazoa; Chordata; Actinopteri; Osmeriformes; Osmeridae
Exons: 6
Source: RefSeq, a predicted model, not a curated record